GUAUCUGCAAGUCCCACGAAGCACAGCA
This 28-nucleotide non-coding RNA is filed under the name Homo sapiens (human). Lineage: Eukaryota; Metazoa; Chordata; Mammalia; Primates; Hominidae. The record is from RNAcentral.